AAAUUUAGUCCUUAAACAGGUAAUUCAACCUGUACCUAACAUAUAAAACCUAAUUCUCUCCUACAAAAGAAAAGAAAAGCAUAAGAAAUGAAAAAUCUAAAUCUGUUCAGACUCGAACUGAAGCCGACGAGUAACACAAAGAGAAACAUGGGGUGAGCGACUCAAGCGAAAAUGGGAAAGAUCUCAGUGUCCAAGUUUCGGUUUUAAGUCAGACGCGACGUCGUUUAGCAAAUCAGGAUGAUGAGACAAGAGACUGGAAAGAACAACAUGGCAUUUGCUGAUUUGAGUUCAGUGGUUUGGUGGAAUUCAAAGUCCGCACCUACUUCCUUCUACUGGAGCUUCAGGGUUGGCUCUAGGCUAUCUACGACUGACUUCGUCUUUAGGUUUGGUGGGAAAAAUGGCCCUUCAAAAUAUUGAAAAUAAAGAAGAAUUCAAGGAUAGAAGUUGGAGUCCGCCGUGGCAGAGAAAAUAAGACAUUCUAGGAGAUUUUCUACUGAAUAAUUUCGACAGGGAGUAGAAGAUGCAGGCCAGCCAUCAAAGACAUUAGCUUUUUGUGAUUUUCAUGUUUUCGGCUGAAAAAGUGACUAGGAAAAAGUACCAAUGGAAAGCUAGGAGGAACCAUCAUCAUAACUGAGCAGACAUGGCCAUUUAUUCUUAUAAUGAAGCUUAAUCAGUGUCUGUAUAUGUUAACUUCCAACAAAUAUGAUGUCUCCAGGCGUACUUUGAGGUAUGUAGUCGAUUUCUUGUAAAUACAUAUGCUGUUGAGAUUUUCAUCGUUCUUGAGUGUGAUCAUUACCAAGAGAAAUUGUUGCUAAGAACGUGGGAUCCUCUGUGAAAAGCUAGACAGAAUAACCAUCACGUCUGACUGUCUAAGGAUUUAGAUAUUAGAAAAAAAACCCAUUCUUUUCUAGGAGAAUCUAGGGGCUUGUUGGAACCAUUUUCAAAACUAUAGACAGCUUUUGGACACUGUUGAUUAUUGUAAUUUGUGUGUUACGUAGUUUUAAUAAUUUGUGUGUUAAGUAGUUUUAAUAA
Long non-coding RNA from Cucumis sativus (cucumber), 1032 nucleotides. RefSeq lists it as uncharacterized. The transcript is spliced from 4 exons. The record is from RefSeq and is a predicted model, not a curated record. NCBI's taxonomy places the organism in Eukaryota, Viridiplantae, Streptophyta, Magnoliopsida, Cucurbitales, Cucurbitaceae.